This 326-nucleotide ribosomal RNA is filed under the name Leucon acutirostris. RNAcentral's name for it is "partial small subunit ribosomal RNA". The record is from RNAcentral. Lineage: Eukaryota; Metazoa; Arthropoda; Malacostraca; Cumacea; Leuconidae.
UGCCUUAAACCUAAAAAAUUUGGCGGCCCCUAAUAAAAUAAGAGGAGCUUGCCCCGUAAACGACGAUCCACGAGAAUCUUACCUAAAUAACGAGCCCGUAUACCGCCAUCCAGAUUGCGCCUAAAGGUGCUCUCAUCUCAUAUUUUGUAUGUAAGGUUAGGUCAAGGUGCAGCUUAUUCUUAGGCCCGGGUUAUCUACAAUAGAAAAGAUUAAUUGAGACGUAGCAUGGAAAGCAGGGCGAAAGAGGAUUUUAGAGUAAUUUGUUUGAAGAGGGCAAGAGUGACAACUAAACUAGGGGUGUACAUAUCGCCCGUCGCUCGGCGGGA